UAGUCGAUGAAAGCUAUGUACAGUGGUC
This 28-nucleotide small RNA is filed under the name Bombyx mori (domestic silkworm). Its description in RNAcentral is "ovarian small RNA-22999". The record is from RNAcentral. Lineage: Eukaryota; Metazoa; Arthropoda; Insecta; Lepidoptera; Bombycidae.